GACCUCCGGUCGCCAGAUGGUUAGGGCGUCUGACUCGGAUGCGGAUGGUCGUGGGUUCGAUUCCCGGCCGAAUCA
Potamilus streckersoni is the source of this 75-nucleotide non-coding RNA. Lineage: Eukaryota; Metazoa; Mollusca; Bivalvia; Unionida; Unionidae. The record is from the annotation of a GenBank genome assembly.